UAGGAGAAUAAGAGAUUAAAGAUUAGGGUUUUAGAUUCAAGAACAAGUUUAUCAUUCAUGAAGUGGAGAGGGGAAAUCCCCCUUACUCCCUUAGGGUUUACAAAUCGCCCAAUACAAGCUUAUAUAUGAGCCUUUACAUUUCUAAUCUCAUAACCUAAAUCUAAUGGCUUAUAAUAGACUUGAAGAAUGGAUGGAUCAGAUGGAGAGUGGAGCUGGUCGUUGUCUCUCAUUGGCUGUGUUCUUGCUGCUGUAUGAUUGGCUUAUUUGAAUCUGGUCAAGGUGGAGACUGGCGCCUGAUUGGCUGCUGUGAGGCUCCCUUGAAUCUUCCCAUUUAUCAGGCCAGAUACAUGGUCUCCCUUUACUUCUUUUCACAGCCAAAAGCCAGCCUGUUCCAGCCUGUCUUUGGCGCCAGCUCCCUUUCUUAUCCACACAGCAUCUUCUUGAUUCUUCUUUGAUUCCAUCAAAAGCCAGCCUGUUCAAGCCUGUCUUUGGCGCCAGCUCCCUUUCUUAUCCACACAGCAUCUUCUUGAUUCUUCUUUGAUUCCAUACGGACCAGACCAUGAUUCUAAGUCCCUAACCUUGCACAAAGCCUUCAUGACUCAUUCUGACCAUGCCCGGACUUGUGCCUUGCGCCCUAUUCUUGCACCAACUUCAUAUCUUCUUAAAUGUUCAAGUUAUGCAUUAUUGGGUCGACCUGGUCCGUACGGUCCGUACACGUCCGUACCAAAUCCGUACGGCCUCGCUCUAAGUAUUCAAGUUAUGCAUUCUUGGGUCGACCUGGUCCGUACGGAUCUGUACGGUCCGUACACGUCCAUACCAAAUCCGUACGGCCUCGCUCUAAGUUUGCACACUUGACCAAACUCCUCCAUACUUCUCUUUUGACUCCAUUUCUUUUCUUCAAGUUAACACUCCCCCUCAAACUUGACUUUAGGUGAUCCUAAGUCAAGCUUAGAACCUUGAAGAACUUCCUCAUUAAAAACCUCACCAAGGAAAACCCUUUGGGACAAAACCUUGAUGAGGAAAAAAGAGUAAAGCCUCCAAGGCCUAGGGAUUGGCCAGUGAGCUCUCGUGCCUUAGAACCAGUGUGGUUGGACACAGGAAGCUCUGGAUCACGGCCUAAACAAGUGUAGCAACACUUCAAGGCUUGCGCACACUUCACCACACCUUCUUGGACUCUUCUAUAGAACCGGUUUAGUGUCUCCCCCUUUCACCGGACUUCAUGCCAUCUUGAAAGGCUAGGAGCGACCUGAUCCUCUCUGUUGAGUCUCCAAGUAAGGUACCUGAUACAUUAUUCCACAAGUGUAUCAGUACUUAUCAAAGAACAUAACUCAAUCAAUUCAUGCUUAUUGACCGUCUUAGUAAGACUAGUAUUCCUUAUAUAUUACUAGAUAUGUUGCCGUCUAGUAAAACUAGUAUUCCUAACGGAUUCAAAUGAUGCUUAACAACUCUUCUUUAGUAAAACUAGUAUUCCUGAUAGAUUACUAGAUAUGUUGACAAUGAUGAAUUGAAUUGAGUUAAGGGAAACUUCCCUUUUUCUUUGGUGAGGAGUGACUGGACCGGCCUGAGUCUUCCCUUUUCUCAUGGCUUCUUGCCAUCUCCAUCAGGUAAGACAUGCCUAGCUCCUUUUGCUUUGGUGAGGAACACCACUUGAACCCCUCACUUGCUGAGCUUAUCAGCUCCUUCUCUUAUCAUGCAAGCUCACCAACACUCCCCCUCAAGCUUGAGACCGAGUAUAGGGAAGAUCCAAGCUUGAAGGUGAGCGCAUACUAAGCUCCAUGAUCACUCUUGUGGGAACACCUCCAUCUUCUUCAGACUUGAUGCUUACAGCCCCACUUAACCACCAUUGCACUGAGGAGAUAGCUCAGCUCACUCUCCACGCAUUGCACUGAGGAGAUACCUUAGCUCACUCUCCAAGCAUCUCACACCAGAAGCUUAUUGAGUAGCUUUCUUCUUCCCUCUACUUCGGCUGGAUCACUCCAUGAUCAGCUUGCAAUGGUCUUGAGUAGCUAUGGGCUGAUUCAAAGCUUCCCAACUGAAGGUAUAUGUUCUAACUCCAUAUAGUAGCUGAUCCAUAGCUUCCCAACUAGAAGGUCUUGUUCCAACUGAAGGUAACUACUCUAACUCUAUAUAGUAGCUGAUCCAUAGCUUCCCAACCAGAAGGUAACUGUUCUAGCCCCACUUAAUCACCAUUGUCACAACAUCCUCUCUACCCUCUUUGGAGCAGGCUGUGGACUUCCCACAGAAUGUUGGCAAUAGGCUUCAUUUCUCCAUUGUCACAACAUCCUCUCUACCCUCUUUGGAGCAGGCUGUGGACUUCCCACAGAAUGUUGGCAAUAGGCUUCAUUUCUCCAUUGUCACAACAUCCUCUCUACCCUCUUUGGAGCAGGCUGUGGACUUCCCACAGAAUGUUGGCAAUAGGCUUCAUUUCUCCAUUGUCACAACAUCCUCUCUACCCUCUUUGGAGCAGGCUGUGGACUUCCCACAGAAUGUUGGCAACAUGCUUCAUCUUAUCAUUCCCUUGUAAUGAUAAGGAGGAAACAUGUCUUGAACUUUGGCUCUUCAGGUUGCUCAUUUGAAUCCCCACCGCAAGCUUGAGACCGAGUAUAGGGGAGAUCCAAGCUUGAACUGAGCCUCAAUGAACUUCAAGACCAGGAGCACAUCACCCUAACAGCUGCGCUUAAAUCACUGAUCCACCCUUUUGCCUUCAGCUUCAUGUACCCUCAGAUCACCGGCCUUCCUCAUGGCUUAGGUGGUGACCUUCUUCUUCUUGUGUGUCUUGAACCAGGAGCUCAACAACCUCGUGGCCUGCGCUUCUUAAACCGGCUUCUACACACAAGAACCUUCCCAUUGCUCCACACAAUGGUCAAGUCUUCCGCUUGUAUGUCUUGAACCAGGAGCUCAACAACCUCGUGGCCUGCGCUUCUUAAACCGGCUUCUACACACAAGAACCUUCCCAUUGCUCCACACAAUGGUCAAGUCUUCCGCUUGUAUGUCUUGAACCAGGAGCUCAACAACCUCGUGGCCUGCGCUUCUUAAACCGGCUUCUACACAGAAGUAUCUUCCCAUUGCUCCACACAAUGGAUCAAGUCUUCCUCUUGUCUUGGAUAGGUGGUGAGCCAAGAGCACUUCUUGUGAACCUGAAACACCACUCAAACUCCAGCAAAGAUAAGAGUAUUGGGAUCAAUCCUUGAUUAAUCAUCAAGUUUGAUUCCCAAUCUCACAAGCAUUGCAACAGGUUAAACAAGUUAUUUUCAAGUUCUAUCUUUGCAAGCAACCUCUCUAAGCACAAGCACUUUCUUUUCCAGAUUUAUGCAAGCUACUUAGGCAUUUUUAAAGCUUCUUUACUCAGCAUUUAGACAUGAAUCUAAUGCUUCAAUGUAAGACAACCACAAGACUAUAUGCAACAGCUUUCAAUUCGGUUUCAAUCCAUUUAUGCAAGCAGAUUCAAUCAAUCACAACAAGCAUCAUUAUGAACCGGAGCUAAGCAUAUUAACAUAUCUAGUAAUCCUAGUAAUACUUAUAAGUUACUAGACAUUUUUAAAUGCGCUUACUGCUGCUAGUAAGCCUAGUAUAACUAGUAAGAUUUUCGGAUUACUAGGAAGCCAAGCUCUUUAAGUAUCCUGGGACAGAUUCUAAAUUCAUUUUAUUUCAUUUAGCAAUCUUUUAAACAAUCCUCAGGUUUUCAAUCACAUCACAACAUCUCAACCAGUCAACUACACAAGCUCAUUAUCAAGAUGGUUUAUAGAAUCGCUUACAACAAGGAACCAGGUUGAUUCCUUUUGCAUUUUGUGAAACCGGCCAUGACUUUUGUUGGAUCUGAGAGUCUGGAUCAUCACCCACCUUCUUCUCCUUCAGUUCAUGGCCACCAUCUUGUACCAUUAACUCAAAAGACCCCUCCUUUCUUCAGAACAUCUAGGCGCCAAACUCUUGACACCAUACUCUUGUAGCCGGAUGUGAAAGUUCUCUUGGACAAGGAGCUUUGGAGUCAGGUUAGGUAGGCCUCUCCAUACACCUUUGCCUCCAAGGAUAAUCUCCAUCUGAGCAGGUAGAGAACAGGAUGAGGAACCAAGGGAAAUCGCCAAGCUUCAGCCUUCCUUUUCACAAGGGACUGAACCGGAUGGGAAAGCCUCAAUGGUUUGGUUUUGAGGAGAAGCGUGAGCUGUGGACUUGCGGAAGCUUCAGCUCAGGUUCUAAUGAACCUGGCUCUGAUACCAUAUGAGAUUUGUAGAGUUCUCUUCUCUGGUUGUAUGUGUGUGUGUAUAAACUCCAAUGGAGAAAGAUGAGAGCUUUCUCUAGGUGAUUUAGAAAGAGAGAUUGAUAAGAGUGUUUAUGAGAGAAUAAGAGACUUAGGAACAGAGAUUAAGAGAUUGAGAGAUUAAGAGAAUAAGAGAUUAAAGAUUAGGGUUUUAGAUUCAUGAACAAGUUUAUCAUUCAUGAAGUGGAGAGGGGAAAUCCCCCUUACUCCCUUAGGGUUUACAAAUCGCCCAAUACAAGCUUAUAUAUGAGCCUUUACAUUUCUAAUCUCAUAACCUAAAUCUAAUGGCUUAUAAUAGACUUGAAGAAUGGAUGGAUCAGAUGGAGAGUGGAGCUGGUCGUUGUCUCUCAUUGGCUGUGUUCUUGCUGCUGUAUGAUUGGCUUAUUUGAAUCUGGUCAAGGUGGAGACUGGCGCCUGAUUGGCUGCUGUGAGGCUCCCUUGAAUCUUCCCAUUUAUCAGGCCAGAUACAUGGUCUCCCUUUACUUCUUUUCACAGCCAAAAGCCAGCCUGUUCCAGCCUGUCUUUGGCGCCAGCUCCCUUUCUUAUCCACACAGCAUCUUCUUGAUUCUUCUUUGAUUCCAUACGGACCAGACCAUGAUUCUAAGUCCCUAACCUUGCACAAAGCCUUCAUGACUCAUUCUGACCAUGCCCGGACUUGUGCCUUGCGCCCUAUUCUUGCACCAACUUCAUAUCUUCUUAAAUGUUCAAGUUAUGCAUUAUUGGGUCGACCUGGU
This 4989-nucleotide long non-coding RNA is filed under the name Brassica napus (rape). RNAcentral describes it as "long non-coding RNA (BNAP_LNC017571)". The record is from RNAcentral. Lineage: Eukaryota; Viridiplantae; Streptophyta; Magnoliopsida; Brassicales; Brassicaceae.